This is a long non-coding RNA of Macadamia integrifolia, 585 nucleotides long. RefSeq lists it as uncharacterized. The transcript is spliced from 3 exons. NCBI's taxonomy places the organism in Eukaryota, Viridiplantae, Streptophyta, Magnoliopsida, Proteales, Proteaceae. The record is from RefSeq and is a predicted model, not a curated record.
CUUCACUCAGGCUCCUCACGCUCCCACUCACUAACAGAGCUGCUGCUGCGUUUAGUAUCUGUUCAAUUGUUCAUGAAAAAUAGGAGAAAUGAUCUCUCAGAGAACUGGAGAAGAACGAUCGCUAGAGAAGAAGCACGACCAACCUUCACUCCUCGACACAGCAGGGAGAACUCCGCUACUCAUCUCUGCUCGUCAAUCACCUCUGGAAGUCUCAGAUCUCAUUUGUGAAGACUCAGAUCUCUACUCGUUUUCGCUCAAAUAGAUAAGGAGAAUUUAACAAUUUCUUCUUUCGUUAGCUUCUCUGCUGAUUCCUCAUUGAGUUGAAUUUAUACACUUUAAUGAGGUGGAUAAUUCCCAUUAGUUGAUGUUGAAGAAAGUUUCCAUUCAGAUCUGAAAUUUCAUCUAGAGAUUCUAGAAAAGGCAAAUUUUGUGCCCUGUUUCAGAAUUUUCUUUAGUUUUUUUUGAGAUUCAAUUGCUAACCCAAGGCAUUGCAAUAGUCUUGCAGAGUCAGUUUCAAUAUAUUUGCUUCUUGUGAUGUAGCAGAGCCAAAAAGUUAUAAUUUCUUCCAAUCUUUAGCCCAUAACA